CCGGCACGGGUGAGUAACACGUAUCCAACCUGCCGUCUACUCUUGGCCAGCCUUCUGAAAGGAAGAUUAAUCCAGGAUGGCAUCAUGAGUUCACAUGUCCGCAUGAUUAAAGGUAUUUCCGGUAGACGAUGGGGAUGCGUUCCAUUAGAUAGUAGCGGGGUAACGGCCCACCUAGUCAACGAUGGAUAGGGGUUCUGAGAGGAAGGUCCCCCACAUUGGAACUGAGACACGGUCCAA
RNAcentral lists this ribosomal RNA (237 nucleotides) under uncultured bacterium. Its description in RNAcentral is "partial 16S ribosomal RNA". It matches the Rfam family "Bacterial small subunit ribosomal RNA", at positions 100 to 334 of the family's 1533-position model. The record is from RNAcentral.